RNAcentral lists this ribosomal RNA (375 nucleotides) under uncultured organism. Its description in RNAcentral is "bacterial SSU rRNA". It matches the Rfam family "Bacterial small subunit ribosomal RNA", at positions 526 to 896 of the family's 1533-position model. The record is from RNAcentral.
CGUAGGGUGCGAGCGUUAAUCGGAAUUACUGGGCGUAAAGCGUGACGCAGGCGGUUUUGUAAGACAGAGUGUGAAAUCCCCGGGCUCGAACCUGGGACCUGCAUUUGUGACUGCAAGGCUAGAGUACGGUAGAGGGGGAUGGAAUUCCGCGUGUAGCAGUGAAAUGCGUAGAUAUGCGGAGGAACACCGAUGGCGAAGGCAAUCCCCUGGGACCUGUACUGACGCUCAUGCACGAAGCGUGGGGAGCAAACAGGAUUAGAUACCCUGGUAGUCCACGCCCUAAACGAUGUCAACUGGUUGUUGGGUCUUUACUGACUCAGUAACGAAGCUAACGCGUGAAGUUGACCGCCCUGGGGAGGUACGGCCGCAAGGUUG